Molecule: unclassified non-coding RNA, 227 nt
Filed under: uncultured fungus
Lineage: Eukaryota; Fungi
Description: partial contains 5.8S ribosomal RNA, internal transcribed spacer 2, and large subunit ribosomal RNA
Source: RNAcentral
AACGCAACUUGCGCCACCUGUGGCAUGUCUGUUUGAGUACCAAUUCUCUCGUGUGUGCUAAUGGAAACAUUGCAUGCGACUUGGCUCGGUUCGCCGGGCUCAAAUACGGUCUAUGUACACGUGGAUAGUGUGAAGCUAGAGACGUACAGGCCUGGCCUACUGCUUCUUGUUCACACGCCCACCUCUUCACCGGUCUCAAAUCAGGCAAGAUUACCCGCUGAACUUAA